GUGCUCACUUCAGCAGCAAAAUUGGAAUAGAGAAGAUUAGCACAGCCCUCGCACAAAAAUGAUCUGCAAAUUCAUGAAGCAUUCUAUAUUUUU
RNAcentral lists this small nuclear RNA (93 nucleotides) under Cebus imitator (Panamanian white-faced capuchin). Lineage: Eukaryota; Metazoa; Chordata; Mammalia; Primates; Cebidae. The record is from RNAcentral.